UGAGUACGAGAUGCUACGGCAUCGAAGCAGUCUAUGUCAUACUUCCAAGAAAAGCUUGCAAUGUCAUAAACAAAUAAUGCCUGUACCAUAACCGACACAGGUGGGUAGGUAGAGUAUACUAAGGGGCGCGAGAUAACUCUCUCUAAGGAACUCGGCAAAAUGACUCCGUAACUUCGGGAGAAGGAGUGCCUUAUUUUUAUAAGGUUGCAAUAACAAGAUCCAAGCAACUGUUUACCAAAAACACAGGUCUCCGCUAAGUCGUAAGACGAUGUAUGGGGGCUGACGCCUGCCCAGUGCCAGAAGGUUAAAGAAGUUGGUUAGCAUUAGCGAAGCUGAUAACCGAAGCCCUGGUGAACGGCGGCCGUAACUAUAACGGUCCUAAGGUAGCGAAAUUCCUUGUCGGGUAAGUUCCGACCCGCACGAAAGGCGUAAUGAUUUGGAUACUGUCUCGGAGAGGGGCUCGGUGAAAUAGACUUGUCUGUGAAGAUGCGGACUACCUGCACCUGGACAGAAAGACCCUAUGAAGCUUUACUGUAACUUGAGAUUGAAAUUGGACUUUAUCUGCGCAGUAUAGGUGGGAGACGUUGAAAAUAUUCUUGCGGGAAUAUUGGAGUCAUCAGUGAGAUACCACUCUUAUAAUGUUAGAUUUCUAACUUUGUAUCAUUAUCUGGUCAAAGAACAGUUUCAGGCGGGCAGUUUGACUGGGGCGGUCGCCUCCCAAACGGUAACGGAGGCGCACAAAGGUUUCCUCUGAACGUGUAGAAAUCGUAUCUAGAGUGUAAAGGCAUAAGGAAGCUUGACUGUGAGACCUACAAGUCGAGCAGGGACGAAAGUCGGUCUUAGUGAUCUGACGGUGCUGAGUGGAAAGGCCGUCACUCAACGGAUAAAAGUUACUCUAAGGAUAACAGGCUGAUCUCCCCCAAGAGUUCACAUCGACGGGGAGGAUUGGCACCUCGAUGUCGGCUCAUCGCAUCCUGGGGCGGUAGUACGUCCCAAGGGUUGGGCUGUUCGCCCAUGAAAGCGGUACGCGAGCUGGGUUCAGAACGUCGUGAGACAGUUCGGUCCAUAUCCGGUGUAGGCGUUAGAAUAUUGAGAGGAGCCUUCUUUAGUACGAGAGGACCGAGAAGGACAUACCUCUGGUGUACCUGUUAUCGUGCCAACGGUAAACGCUGGGUAGCCAUGUAUGGAGAGGAUAACCGCUGAAAGCAUCUAAGUGGGAAGCCCACCUCAAGAUAAGUAUUCUC
This 1244-nucleotide ribosomal RNA is filed under the name metagenome. Its description in RNAcentral is "bacterial LSU rRNA". It matches the Rfam family "Bacterial large subunit ribosomal RNA", at positions 1564 to 2815 of the family's 2925-position model. The record is from RNAcentral.